This 368-nucleotide ribosomal RNA is filed under the name uncultured Smithella sp. Its description in RNAcentral is "bacterial SSU rRNA". It matches the Rfam family "Bacterial small subunit ribosomal RNA", at positions 1014 to 1382 of the family's 1533-position model. The record is from RNAcentral. Lineage: Bacteria; Pseudomonadati; Thermodesulfobacteriota; Syntrophia; Syntrophales; Smithellaceae.
UGCCUUUCGGGGAACUCGGAGACAGGUGCUGCAUGGCUGUCGUCAGCUCGUGUCGUGAGAUGUUGGGUUAAGUCCCGCAACGAGCGCAACCCUUGUCUUUAAUUGCCAGCAUUCAGUUGGGCACUUUAAAGAGACUGCCGGUGUUAAGCCGGAGGAAGGUGGGGAUGACGUCAAGUCCUCAUGGCCUUUAUGCCCAGGGCUACACACGUGCUACAAUGGGUGGUACAAAGAGAUGCCAACUCGCGAGAGCGCGCCAAUCUCAGAAAGCCAUCCUCAGUUCGGAUUGGAGUCUGCAACUCGACUCCAUGAAGUUGGAAUCGCUAGUAAUCGCGGAUCAGCACGCCGCGGUGAAUACGUUCCCGGGCCUU